Molecule: ribosomal RNA, 497 nt
Filed under: uncultured bacterium
Lineage: Bacteria
Description: partial 16S ribosomal RNA
Rfam family: Bacterial small subunit ribosomal RNA
Source: RNAcentral
GAUGAACGCUGGCGGCGUGCCUAAUACAUGCAAGUCGAGCGAACAGACGAGGAGCUUGCUCCUCUGACGUUAGCGGCGGACGGGUGAGUAACACGUGGAUAACCUACCUAUAAGACUGGGAUAACUUCGGGAAACCGGAGCUAAUACAGGAUAAUAUAUUGAACCGCAUGGUUCAAUAGUGAAAGACGGUUUUGCUGUCACUUAUAGAUGGAUCCGCGCCGCAUUAGCUAGUUGGUAAGGUAACGGCUUACCAAGGCAACGAUGCGUAGCCGACCUGAGAGGGUGAUCGGCCACACUGGAACUGAGACACGGUCCAGACUCCUACGGGAGGCAGCAGUAGGGAAUCUUCCGCAAUGGGCGAAAGCCUGACGGAGCAACGCCGCGUGAGUGAUGAAGGUCUUCGGAUCGUAAAACUCUGUUAUUAGGGAAGAACAAAUGUGUAAGUAACUAUGCACGUCUUGACGGUACCUAAUCAGAAAGCCACGGCUAACUACGUG